This 425-nucleotide ribosomal RNA is filed under the name uncultured bacterium. RNAcentral's name for it is "bacterial SSU rRNA". It matches the Rfam family "Bacterial small subunit ribosomal RNA", at positions 356 to 773 of the family's 1533-position model. The record is from RNAcentral.
GGGGAAUUUUGGACAAUGGGGGCAACCCUGAUCCAGCCAUGCCGCGUGAGUGAAGAAGGCCUUCGGGUUGUAAAGCUCUUUCGGCCGGGAAGAAAUCGCAAAGGCUAAUAUCCUUUGUGGAUGACGGUACCGGAAUAAGAAGCACCGGCUAACUACGUGCCAGCAGCCGCGGUAAUACGUAGGGUGCGAGCGUUAAUCGGAAUUACUGGGCGUAAAGCGUGCGCAGGCGGUUUGGUAAGACAGGCGUGAAAUCCCCGGGCUCAACCUGGGAACUGCGCUUGUGACUGCCAAGCUAGAGUAUGGCAGAGGGGGGUGGAAUUCCACGUGUAGCAGUGAAAUGCGUAGAGAUGUGGAGGAACACCGAUGGCGAAGGCAGCCCCCUGGGCCAAUACUGACGCUCAUGCACGAAAGCGUGGGGAGCAAAC